Molecule: long non-coding RNA, 2478 nt
Organism: Lagopus muta (rock ptarmigan)
Lineage: Eukaryota; Metazoa; Chordata; Aves; Galliformes; Phasianidae
Exons: 4
Source: RefSeq, a predicted model, not a curated record
CUGGGCUAGCGCGCGGGGGACCGUUGGCGGUCGCGGCGCGCGCUCGCGGGCUCUGGGGGGGCGCGCGACAAGGCUGCCAACAGCCGUUAACGGUCGCGGCGCGCGCUCGGCCCCGCCGAGGAGAGGAGCGCGGGGCGGGCGGCGACAGGCAGCGCGAAGGGGCGGGGCGCGUUGCCUGGGAGCGCCGUACACAGACCCCAAACAGCGCCCGGCCGCGGGGUGCGGGGCUCCACCAGCACCCGGCCCCACCCUGGGCCUCGAGAAGCGGACGGGCGAGCGAGCUCCGCGCCUCAGAGGGAGCGGGCUGCGGUGCGGAGGCAGCGGCGGGAGGCGCCGGGACGAAGCUCCUUACAUAAGCGAGGAGCGCCCGUGUCCCGCUGCCCGAUUUUGUACGCGCCCCGGGCUUUCGAAACGUGCCGGCUGACAGCGCGGAGCUGCCUUCCUCCUGCUCUUAGCGAGCCUGGAAUCACCACAGAAAGGUUUAACGCUAAGAGUCUCUGAGGCGUUCAAGGUUUUUCCCAGACAAGAUGCCUUCUCAGACAAAAUUUGAAGUCCUGCUGGAAAGCGGAGGAGAUGAAAUACCUUACCUGCCAAAAUUCUUCCGAAGGGUAGCAGGAAGCUCACAUGCUCUCAGCGCACAUCUUCAGCAAAAAGUGUGCACAGCCAGUACAUAAUGGAAUAAUGGAAGAUAGAUCCAUCUGAAAAAGGCCUCAGGAGGUCAUCUUUGCCAUUAUCUUAUCUCCAGGCAGGACUGACCUCUACUUCAGAUUUGAAACAGAUGUCUUCUGGUGCAAUUGUCGACGUUCAAGAAUAAAGAAUGCUUUUACUUAAUUCGUUAAGGGGAAAAAAAAGGAACAUAUGAAGAAGACAUUAAACUAUUCUGACUGCCUUGUAUGAACGAAUGCACUGAGUUGAACAAAAGAAAGCAGAUGCAGACCUGCGUCUUGUAACUGUUACUUUUAUUAACUUGUCAGUUAUUACCUUGAAGAUAUGAAUUGGAUUCAUUUAGACAUUUCUGUUUUACACACCACUGAAUGAAGCACAAGAUUCAGUAACAGGUGCCAAUAAAAAAAAAAAAGUCUGUUAGUAAUGGCUUGCUUUAUUUUUAUCCUUUCUAGGUUAGCUUGCUUGGAAAAAAAAAUGCAUCAAAGCAGGACAAAUACUCAAUCCACUGGCCUAUUUGUAGAACUUUCAUGACAUAUUGUCAUAACUCUCUAUUUUGUGUUUUCCUGCCAUUUUGUGGCGAGUGUCCCCAAAUCCCCAAACCCAUGUUGGAGGUUUUUUUAUUGGUACCAAACUGAAUCUUAUCCCUUCCACUUGUCUAAAACACCAGCAAUAUUCAAAUUAUUCCAUUUAUGUCCUAGCUUACAAUUUCAUUAAUUAAACAACAACAACAACAACAAAAACAUUUGCAGACUAUAUUAUGAACUGUUCCAUGAGGACUCAAACCAAUAAAGUUCAGAUUCACACCCAAAUUGCUACACUGCUCCCCAGUCAAACAAGUACCAUCAGCUUACCUCCCUUACCAUUUUGUAAGACCAGCAGUGUUGCCAGUUCCAGCCACAUCCACUGCCCUUCCUCACCCUUCCACAUCUAGUGAACAUCAGACAGCAUACAGAACAUUUGCUAGUGGUGAAGCCUGGACCAUCCCCACCUAUGGCUGGAGACAGUAAGAAAGAUCUCCUGAGCUUCCCUGGGAGACUCUCCCUCAGCUGGAAAGGGUAAUCUGGGUCUCAUAUCUACCUAGCUACUGACAUUGCAGCAACAUUUAGGAAUUCGUAUCUAUGAGGUCUUCAACACUCCUCCACAUUCAGCAGAACAGUGAAGAUGCAGUCACAUAAGUUGAACUUCCUUGAGAGCACAGACUCCAUUUAAAAGCCUUGCACCCAUACACUUCUUUUUCAGCCUCUAGUUUUGCUAUUGUUAUUCUAACACAUCAUAGUUCUCUGGUAGAGGAAGAGGCUUCAUUUUCAGUAAAAGUGAUACAACAAAGGAGCAGGCAAUCAUUCAGCUCUCAAAGGACACAGUUGCUUCUGUUCUUUUCUUCUGCACUGUCUCAACUGUCCUGAAUGAAAUAAGAACACGGAAAACAUGGAGCAUUUUGAAAGUACAACUAAAAGCAUCGAACUCAAAUGUCUGUGUUGAUUUAACUUUAGAAUAAAAUUCCAAAUAUUUUUGCCUGAAAAUCUAUAUGUACGUCCAGUGAAUAACAAUAAUUAGUCCAAACACAUUAAGAAAAAACCCUCCUGCAGGAUUGUGGUGAAACUGUUCAAAGCUCAAUAAUCAGAGCACUUUGAAUUUUCUUACAAACAGCAGUUCCAGUGGGCUUCUGUCUGCAGAACAAACUCUUUGUGUAUAAGAGCAGCUGAAGAAUGUUUAACUUCAAGCUGAAAUAAAAUGGAUGAUUGAAUAUGAAUGAACUUUCUACAUGCCUACACUACUGACUAACCAUUCUCAUAUGAUCAAUUAGAUGAUACA